AGAAGAAGAAGAAGAAGAAAAAGGAGGAAAAGGAGCCACCGGAAAAGAAGCCGAUUGUAGAGGAGGCGACUGGAGUUUUGGAUUUGAACGUGAUGCCAGAGGUGGAAUUAGAAAAUAAUGAGAUAUAGCCGAGGCGUUAAGAUCUAAGCCGUCGUGUGUGAUGGAGGAAAACAGAUCGGGUCUCCGGAAGUUGCGCACGUGUUUUGCAUAAGCGUAGGUUAUCUUUUCCUCCACACUUUUCUUAUUUUUCUGGUAUGUUAUGUUUAAUUAUUUACUCUUAACAUUAACAACUCCACUAAUAAAUUAACUAGUUGCUUAAGAGAAUUAUAUGAGACUUUGUUUACCAUAUAACAGACG
This 357-nucleotide unclassified non-coding RNA is filed under the name Hevea brasiliensis (rubber tree). The record is from RNAcentral. Lineage: Eukaryota; Viridiplantae; Streptophyta; Magnoliopsida; Malpighiales; Euphorbiaceae.